Molecule: ribosomal RNA, 238 nt
Filed under: uncultured bacterium
Lineage: Bacteria
Description: partial 16S ribosomal RNA
Rfam family: Bacterial small subunit ribosomal RNA
Source: RNAcentral
AACGAACGCUGGCGGCGCGCUUAACACAUGCAAGUCGAACGAGAAGGCGUAGCAAUACGCUUGUACAGUGGCGAACGGGUGAGGAAUACAUGGGUAACCUACCCUCGAGUGGGGGAUAACCCGCCGAAAGGCGGGCUAAUACCGCGUACGCUUCCGAUCUUGCGGGAUUGGAAGGAAAGCUGUCCCUUGGGGAUGGCGCUCAAGGAUGGGCUCAUGUCCUAUCAGCUUGUUGGAGGGU